UACAGAGGUGGCAAGCGUUGUUCGGAAUUACUGGGCGUAAAGGGCGCGUAGGCGGUUCGUUAAGUCCUGUGUGAAAUCCCCCGGCUCAACUGGGGAACUGCACAGGAAACUAGCGGGCUUGAGUUCGGGAGAGGGAAGCGGAAUUUCGGGUGUAGCGGUGAAAUGCGCAGAUAUCCGAAGGAACACCGGUGGCGAAGGCGGCUUCCUGGACCGACACUGACGCUGAGGCGCGAAAGCUAGGGGAGCAAACGGG
This 253-nucleotide ribosomal RNA is filed under the name uncultured bacterium. RNAcentral describes it as "partial 16S ribosomal RNA". It matches the Rfam family "Bacterial small subunit ribosomal RNA", at positions 524 to 776 of the family's 1533-position model. The record is from RNAcentral.